GUCUGGCCUGCCACUGAUUUAUAUUUAAAGGGCCGCGGUAAUUUGACCGUGCGAAGGUAGCAUAAUCAGUAGUCUUUUAAUUGAAGGCUGGAAUGAAUGGUCGGACAAAGAGUGAGCUGUCUUUAUAUAAUUAUUUGAAUUUUACUUUUAAGUGAAAAGGCUUAAAUAAGUUAGGGGGACGAUAAGACCCUAUAAAACUUUACAGAUAUGAUUAUAUUUAUUAAAAUGGAGUUUAAUAGUAUUUAUUAUUUUAUCUGUUGUGUUGGGGCGACAAAGAUAUAAUAGGGUAACUGUUAGUUUUAUUUAAUAGUGAUAAUUAGUUUAGUUGAUCCUUUAUUAGAGAUUAUAAGAAUAAGUUACUUUAGGGAUAACAGCGUAAUUUUCUUUAAGAGUUCGUAUCGACGAGAAUAGUUGCGACCUCGAUGUUGAAUUAAGAUUUCCUUUAGGCGGAGGAGUUUAAACGGUAGGUCUGUUCGACCUUUAAAAUCUUACAUGAUUUGAGUUCAAACCGGUGUGAGCCAGGUUGGUUUUCUAUCU
Molecule: ribosomal RNA, 537 nt
Filed under: Heterocarpus calmani
Lineage: Eukaryota; Metazoa; Arthropoda; Malacostraca; Decapoda; Pandalidae
Description: partial 16S ribosomal RNA
Rfam family: Bacterial large subunit ribosomal RNA
Source: RNAcentral